Molecule: ribosomal RNA, 623 nt
Filed under: uncultured archaeon
Lineage: Archaea
Description: bacterial SSU rRNA
Rfam family: Archaeal small subunit ribosomal RNA
Source: RNAcentral
AAGGUGCAGAAUGGAGCACCUGGCGUACGGCUCAGUAACACGUAGUGAACCUGCCCUGAGGACGGGGACAACCGCGGGAAACUGCGGCUAAUACCCGAUAAGAAACUUGGCCUGGAACGGUAUUUUUCUUAAAACCGGCUCGCCGUGAGAUACGGGCCUUAGGAUGGCGCUGCGGCUGAUUAUGCUUGAUGGUGGUGUAAUGGACCACCAUGGCGUCGAUCAGUAUGGGCGAUGGAAGUCGGAGCCCAAAAUCGGCCACUGAGACAAGGGGCCGAGCCUUACGAGGCUUAACGGUCGCGAAACCUCGCCAAUGCACGAAAGUGUGAGUGGGCUACUCCAAGUGUCAUUCUUACGGAUGACUGUCGCUCAGUAUUACAAGCUGAGAAAGGAAGGAGAGGGCAAGGCUGGUGCCAGCCGCCGCGGUAAAACCAGCUCUUCGAGUGGUCAGGACGAAUAUUGGGUCUAAAGCGCUCGUAGCCGGGCAAGUAGGUUCCUGGCUAAAUCCGACAGCUUAACUGUUGGGCUGCUGGGAAUACCGCUAGCCUUGGAAGCGGGAGAGGACAGAGGUAGUCAUGGGGCAGGGGUGAAAUCCAGUGAUCCCAUGGCGACCACCGAUGGCGAAG